This 253-nucleotide ribosomal RNA is filed under the name uncultured bacterium. RNAcentral describes it as "partial 16S ribosomal RNA". It matches the Rfam family "Bacterial small subunit ribosomal RNA", at positions 524 to 776 of the family's 1533-position model. The record is from RNAcentral.
UACGUAGGGUGCGAGCGUUAUUCGGAAUCACUGGGCUUACAGGGUGCGUAGGCGGCCUUUCAAGUCAGGUGUGAAAGCCCCCGGCUCAACCGGGGAACUGCGCUUGAAACUGAAAGGCUCGAGUCAGCUAGAGGUACACGGAACUUCCAGUGGAGCGGUGAAAUGUGUUGAUAUCGGAAGGAACAUCAGUGGCGAAAGCGACUUCCUGGACCAGUACCGACGUUCAGGCACGAAAGCGUGGGGAGCAAACAGG